This is a long non-coding RNA of Panicum virgatum (switchgrass), 1336 nucleotides long. RefSeq lists it as uncharacterized. The record is from RefSeq and is a predicted model, not a curated record. Lineage: Eukaryota; Viridiplantae; Streptophyta; Magnoliopsida; Poales; Poaceae. The transcript is spliced from 5 exons.
GGCCAAUCAGACCUACUGGUUUUUUGCUUUACCCCUGUUGUUUUCCAUUUGAUUUCAGGAAGUGGCGUUGAGCCUCCAUCCUUUGAUCUAGGUGUCAAUACUUCUCCAGCAGCUGUUGGUCAAGAAACUCCAAAGGAGCUAAUUUUUGCAAUACAACCAAUGCUUUCGCCUGAGCAGAAAGGAUUUGCAAGUGCUGCCUCAACACUGCCAUCUUUAGGUCUUGCUGACAUGUCACCAACCGAUGCAACCAGACAGCUUGCGCAAUGUAUUAUCCUUGACAUUGUGCAUGUCAUAGAGGAGGGAAUUGACCCUGCUGGUAAGGUGCUGUAUGGGCAAUGGAUUACCGAGCCUUUUGACAAAGUGCAUGCAUUGGUCGAGCCUCCUCAUUGUAUUUCAUGGUCAUUAGUGCAUCGUCAUCCUAUUCACGACUUGAAAUUUCUGGGCCACCUGAUAGAUUGCUGUAAAGAACUUGUUGACCAUGUUAUUCGAAGAGAAUGGGUGGUUCAUCCACUUCCUAGGUUCCUUGUUCUUACCGGCUCAGAGAUCUUGAACACAUUCGUAGAUGGCAAGGCUGCUGACUCGGAUAUUGUAGAUGCCGCAAUUCGCCGUUUCUCUUAGCUAGACGGUACUGCCGAAUCUUGUGGGUACCCUGUACGGUGACGACAUUUAUUGGAAUCGGAUUUUGCGGUAAUUCAUGAAUAAUUUCAGCAGAAUAUUUAUGCACCAACCUUAACCGUAUCUGUAUGUUUCCAUUGCGCCUAAUUACGUUUUCGCUAUCAUAAUUUUUUACAAGAUGAACUCCCUUGCUGGAUACAAUCCUAAAAAGAUCCUUCCAGUUUUAAACCAAUUUGUUGGCCUAGACUAUUGUAUCCAGAGCUGCCGCAUGUGCCUGUUAUUGUUGAGAGUGCAUGGUGUGCUUAUAUGUUCGACAUGCAUGGUUCAGAGGUCCAUGUCCUUGAUCCUGCAUAUACUUCUGUGCGGAUUUCUGUUCACAGGGAGAUUCACAAGCUUGUCCAUUCCUCGCUCGCUAAUUGUUUGUCUUAUUUCUUCGAUGGUUGGACAUUGAAAUCGAUCGACUGUUGGAAACUACUAUAUCCGACACUUCCUCUGUUCGAUCUUAAUCAGUAUGACUCUGCUAUUGUGAUGCUGUACUAUGCUAGGUAUUACAAUGGAGUCGAGUUGGAUGCCCCGUCGAACAAGGCUUCGAUGUCAGAAAUUCGUCAUUCUAUAAUGUUUGAUAUCCUAUCUUCCGAAGGGAAUCUAGCAUCUUUGCCAAUUUAUGUUCUCCAAGUCAAGCAAGGAUGAAUUGCAACCCUAAGAAAGAGAGUCAUUUUGG